UCUUUCAAGGUUCAAGCAAACUCUCUUUUUAACCAAUCUCACUCAUUCCCAGCUUUUCCCUUUUUCAUUUUACAUUGAGUUCUUCUUACAUGCAUAAAUUUUUUUCUUCUUUUCUUUUCUUUCACAUGCAUUUUUCUUUUUCAUUCUUUUGAACUCAAUGCUUUUCUUUUUCUUUUGCCUUUCACUUUCCCCAUUCAACCCCAAACUUAAACCUUUUC
This 218-nucleotide long non-coding RNA is filed under the name Vigna radiata. Its description in RNAcentral is "long non-coding RNA (VRAD_LNC013919)". The record is from RNAcentral. Lineage: Eukaryota; Viridiplantae; Streptophyta; Magnoliopsida; Fabales; Fabaceae.